GUUCCCGUAGCUCAGUUGGAUAGAGCGGUUGCCUCCUAAGCAACAGGUCGUGCGUUCAAUUCGCGCCGGGGACA
This 74-nucleotide transfer RNA is filed under the name Chlamydiales bacterium. Its description in RNAcentral is "tRNA-Arg". It matches the Rfam family "tRNA". From Rfam's summary of the family: Transfer RNA (tRNA) molecules are approximately 80 nucleotides in length. Their secondary structure includes four short double-helical elements and three loops (D, anti-codon, and T loops). Lineage: Bacteria; Pseudomonadati; Chlamydiota; Chlamydiia; Chlamydiales. The record is from RNAcentral.